This 378-nucleotide unclassified non-coding RNA is filed under the name plant metagenome. RNAcentral describes it as "partial contains 5.8S ribosomal RNA, internal transcribed spacer 2, and large subunit ribosomal RNA". The stretch from base 1 to 105 matches the Rfam family "5.8S ribosomal RNA", at positions 50 to 154 of the family's 154-position model. The record is from RNAcentral.
GAAAUGCGAUAAGUAAUGUGCAUUGCAGAAUUAAGUGAAUCAUCGAAUCUUUGAACGCACCUUGCGCUCCUUGGUAUUCCUUGGAGCAUGCCUGUUUGAGUAUCAUGAAAUCUUCAAAGUAAAUCUUUUGUUAACUCAAUUGGUUUCUACUUUGGUAUUGGAGGUCUUUGCAGCUUCACACCUGCUCCUCUUUGUUCAUUAGCUGGAUCUCAGUGUUAUGCUUGGUUCCACUCGGCGUGAUAAGUUAUCUAUCGCUGAGGACACUGUAAAAGGUGGCCAAGGUAAAUGCAGAUGAACCGCUUCUAAUAGUCCAUUGACUUGGACAAUACUUUUAUGAUCUGAUCUCAAAUCAGGUAGGACUACCCGCUGAACUUAAGC